UACGGAGGGUGCAAGCGUUUAUCCGGAUUCACUGGGUUUAAAGGGUGCGUAGGCGGGUAGGUAAGUCCGUGGUGAAAUCUCUGAGCUUAACUCAGAAACUGCCGUGGAUACUAUUUGCCUUGAAUAUUGUGGAGGUGAGCGGAAUAUGUCAUGUAGCGGUGAAAUGCUUAGAUAUGACAUAGAACACCAAUUGCGAAGGCAGCUCACUACACAAUGAUUGACGCUGAGGCACGAAAGCGUGGGGAGCAAACAGG
This 254-nucleotide ribosomal RNA is filed under the name uncultured bacterium. Its description in RNAcentral is "partial 16S ribosomal RNA". It matches the Rfam family "Bacterial small subunit ribosomal RNA", at positions 524 to 776 of the family's 1533-position model. The record is from RNAcentral.